GAUGAACGCUGGCGGCGUGCCUAAUACAUGCAAGUCGAGCGAACAGACGAGGAGCUUGCUCCUCUGACGUUAGCGGCGGACGGGUGAGUAACACGUGGAUAACCUACCUAUAAGACUGGGAUAACUUCGGGAAACCGGAGCUAAUACCGGAUAAUAUAUUGAACCGCAUGGUUCAAUAGUGAAAGACGGUUUUGCUGUCACUUAUAGAUGGAUCCGCGCCGCAUUAGCUAGUUGGUAAGGUAACGGCUUACCAAGGCAACGAUGCGUAGCCGACCUGAGAAGGUGAUCGGCCACACUGGAACUGAGACACGGUCCAGACUCCUACGGGAGGUAGCAGUAGGGAAUCUUCCGCAAUGGGCGAAAGCCUGACGGAGCAACGCCGCGUGAGUGAUGAAGGUCUUCGGAUCGUAAAACUCUGUUAUUAGGGAAGAACAAAUGUGUAAGUAACUAUGCACGUCUUGACGGUACCUAAUCAGAAAGCCACGGCUAACUACGUG
RNAcentral lists this ribosomal RNA (497 nucleotides) under uncultured bacterium. Its description in RNAcentral is "partial 16S ribosomal RNA". It matches the Rfam family "Bacterial small subunit ribosomal RNA", at positions 28 to 507 of the family's 1533-position model. The record is from RNAcentral.